This 403-nucleotide ribosomal RNA is filed under the name Verrucomicrobiota bacterium. Its description in RNAcentral is "Verrucomicrobia bacterium partial 16S ribosomal RNA". It matches the Rfam family "Bacterial small subunit ribosomal RNA", at positions 355 to 776 of the family's 1533-position model. Lineage: Bacteria; Pseudomonadati; Verrucomicrobiota. The record is from RNAcentral.
UGGGGAAUAUUGCACAAUGGAGGGAACUCUGAUGCAGCGACGCCGCGUGAACGAAGAAGGCUUUCGAGUCGUAAAGUUCUUUUAUAUGGGAAGAUAAUGACGGUACCAUAAGAAAAAGCCCCGGCUAAAUACGUGCCAGCAGCCGCGGUAAUACGUAUGGGGCGAGCGUUGUCCGGAAUUAUUGGGCGUAAAGGGUACGUAGGCGGUCUAUUAAGUCAGGUGUGAAAGCGUGAGGCUUAACCUCAUUAAGCACUUGAAACUGAUAGACUUGAGUGAAGGAGAGGAAAGUGGAAUUCCUAGUGUAGCGGUGAAAUGCGUAGAUAUUAGGAGGAAUACCGGUGGCGAAGGCGACUUUCUGGACUUUUACUGACGCUCAGGUACGAAAGCGUGGGGAGCAAACAGG